CUGUAAAAAAUGGCUGUGAAAUCUACAGUUAUUUACCGUAGAUUUCACAGUUACAUUACUGUAUAAGAUUUUUACAGUAGAACAUUUUAAAGUUUACAGUAAGACAGUAAAAAUCACAGUAAUCCAAGCAUUACAGUUGAAAUCACAGUAAUCAAAUUAUUACUGUAAAAAAUCACAAUUUAGCCACUAUGGUACUGUAAAUAGUAAAGUAAACUACUGUAAUUUUCCUUUUUUUAUCAUAUCUUUCUUUGUACCCCUUUCACAUGGACGGCCCCAGAUUAUUGUUGUUCAGAAUUCAUUACUGGAAUAUGAUAUAAAUACUCAAUGGUGAGUAAUAUUAAUAAAUUAAAAUGUGUCAUGUAACUUUUAGUUUGAGCUUUCUAUUCCAUACAAUAUAUAAUUUUUAAAGAAUUCACAUAAGAUUCCAAGAAUAUAUAUAUAUAAUAUAUAUUGUGACUGGGUGUUUAGGUGUAAAAUGGGUGUUAACAGGGCAAUAAAAUAUUAAAAUAUAAGCUUUAUCUUAAACUUCUCUAAAGUCUUCCCUCACAUGGUCUAACAAUAUAGGCUUCAUAAAAGCAUAAUUUUUGAAGAUAUAAUCCUCAGAUCUCGCGAGAUUAAAUAUGUCACGAGAUUUCUCGUGGAGGUGAAAUACUGGCCGUUUCUCAAACAAAAGGCUGCAUCCUUAGGAGGUCGCAUUUGUAGACUGCAUACGUCAUAAAGACUGACUUAUUACAGAAUUAACAAUUAUAACGUUUUACACUAUUAUAUUUAGUUAAUCAUAAAAUGUUGUAAUAUGCUCAUGACUUGCGAAUGUAAUGCUCAGUUAACUGAAAUAAACCAGGCUUGAUGACGUAUGGAGCCUGCAUAUGCGACCUCUGGAGGCUGCAGCUUUCUGUUUUUAUUUUUGAGCUUAUGUAUCUCAAUAUUAAUAACAUCUGGGGCCUAUACCAUGAAGGUAGCUGAACAAACUCGGGGUUACAGGAUUGAUUUUGAGUUUUGAACUUGAGCCAAAACUCUAAAGCGUGUCUAUUCAUAAAGACUUUUAUUUUGGGUAGACUUUUAUUUUAUGUCAUGUGCAUUACUUGCCAAAAUUGGUGCUGUCUGGUCAACUCAUAAAAACGUAUCAUUGUUUUUUUUAUAUAUAUUUACAAAAAUCUGUAUUUUUUCUUCGGAAGUAGCUGCAGGAGAGAUAAACGUGCAAGUUUUCAGAGCUGUUUCUGAGCUGCAGGGCGAAAUCAAAGCGCCGGCGGAGUGGGCGGGGUUUACGCAACCCAGUCUAGAAAGUUCAAUCUGUGGGAAAAAAGCGCGAAAGAAGCAACACUUGAAUUUCUGACUCGUCGUUAGUAACAGAAAAGCUCCAUUAAUUCUCAAAUUAACGUUUCUUUACACACGACUUUGUCUUGUGGUUGUAUUUAUUUCGUUUUCUUCUUUGUGUUGAUUUCUUUCACUUUUUGCCUGAGAGGAAUUCAGCGAAAAGGUUUCAGUGAGAGCUCCGACGGAGACGUUUUCACAGACGUUAAUAACAUACUAUUACUCAAAUGUAUCUUUCUUUACACACGGCUUUGUCUUGUGGUUGUAACGUUAUUUAUUUUGUUUUCGUCUUUGUGUUGAUAUUUCACUUUUUGCCUGAGAGGAAUUCAGCGAUAACGUUUCCGUGAGAAGUACGACGGAGACGUUUUCACAGCCGUUAACGUUAAUAUAUUUUUCACACCCGUGGCCUCUGCCGGAGUAUCCAUCUUGGAAUCGCGGAUCCGACCUUCACCAACUGCUUAUACCUUUAUACAACUUCCAGAAUAUAAGUAAGUACAUUUACUAUCACUACUAGGAGCAAAAAGUUCAGUGCCAUAACGUUAACGUUACAAAUUUUAGCUUGCCAUAAAAAUGAAUUACGUACUCGUGCAAGCACUGUAUUUUCACCACAACUAAUUACUGCAUUUGUUCGUCAUUUGAGCAUACACAGAAAUCUAGCUAACUUUAGAUUUCCAUGUGGCGUCGCAAAAUGCUUUGCCACUUUUGUGACGCGUGGUGCCGUUUAAAGCGUUUAAAUGUACCGCUUUCACAAGAAGACUGCUAAAAGUGGCCGUGACGUUAAGACUGCGUCGAAUGAUUCUGACUAACUAGCAAUUAGUUAUGGCUAAUCAGUCUUAUUAUUUCGAUUUAAAUUAGAUCAAUCUACCUUUCUAUGUAACAUACUUAACAGUUAUCAGUCUUGAAGAAAAAAAAUGACUAACUUUUAAGACUAUUAAAAUUUUAUGCAACCGGCCACAGUACUUAAAAGGAAAAUUUAUGGAGUGUUGUAAUUGAUAAGGUUAUCGUGGUACUUAGUUAAUUUUUUGUGUGUAAACAUGCACAAACCUUCGGAGCACAACAAAUUUUAGUGCUUCAUUAUAUUCAUUAUCAACCUUGUUUCAAGUAACUCUUUGCUGUCAUAGGCGAGUACCACUCCCGCAGACGCAGAGGCCCAUCUGUCUCUCCCAAUCACUCCUAAGAUCAUCAUGCUCGUCAGGAAAAGCACCAGUCAGGAAAAGCAUCACUUCAAAAAAGAGAGAAAAUCCUGACUGCAAAAAAAUGGAUGCUGUCGAUCGAGGGAAGGGUCAUUAACAGGUGGAAGCCAGCACAACACUGGAGUUUGUUCAGAGGUUUUUAGUCAGGAUUAAUCCUGACUCCAACAAGUGCACUGCCAAGGAGCAGAUGAGCAAGACAACAGGGAGAGUGGUGAAGCGGAAGACUUCAUACAUGAACCUCCAUGUAAUCUCCUUCAUCAGGGACUUCAGGGAGUUCUAUUUGAUAACUGACUAGAUACAGGUCACCAAGGUCAGGGCAUGCAAGAAGUCAUAGACCUUUGUCAAGUGGCAGGGGAAGUUUAUUUUCCUUUCUGUUUAAAUGUUCAUGCAAAUGUUAAAUAUUUUAAUGUUCAAAGUUUUAUUUUAUUUCAAUAUUGCCAUAGUGUUAUUCAUUGCUCUUUAAAAUGUGGUAAUAAUCAGUUAUUUGCACGGCUUGAAAGUAGUAAAUUUUUUUGACCGUAUUGUAUCAAUUUGCAUUAUUGUUAGGUCAUAACAACCAGUCAUGUGGAACUAGUGAAUGAACUAGUAACAGUUCGCUCUGUAUGUUGCAUGUCGUCUAAUGUCCAUUAUCCCUUUAUGUUGUACCUGUUUGGUCAUCCUGUUCCCCAAAUGAUUUUAAAUAAAUAACUAUUAACAAUU
Non-coding RNA from Misgurnus anguillicaudatus (oriental weatherfish), 3203 nucleotides. NCBI's taxonomy places the organism in Eukaryota, Metazoa, Chordata, Actinopteri, Cypriniformes, Cobitidae. The record is from RefSeq and is a predicted model, not a curated record.